RNAcentral lists this ribosomal RNA (88 nucleotides) under Segatella copri. RNAcentral describes it as "partial 16S ribosomal RNA". The record is from RNAcentral. Lineage: Bacteria; Pseudomonadati; Bacteroidota; Bacteroidia; Bacteroidales; Prevotellaceae.
UGAAGACUAAUACCCAAUGAUAUCUCUAGAAGGCAUCUGAAAGAGAUUAAAGAUUUAUCGGUGAUGGAUGGGGAUGCGUCUGAUUAGC